RNAcentral lists this unclassified non-coding RNA (2430 nucleotides) under Haliotis rufescens (red abalone). RNAcentral describes it as "uncharacterized LOC124151074, transcript variant X2". The record is from RNAcentral. Lineage: Eukaryota; Metazoa; Mollusca; Gastropoda; Lepetellida; Haliotidae.
UAGCGCCACCACUGGCUAUUACGAGUUAUGGCCCUUCUAUGUCCCUCCAACUGACCAAUCAGUUUCCCCCUACCUCUCAGAAGAAGAAGAAGAAGUUUAUUCAUGAAUGAAGGCCACAUGGCCCAGAGUUCAUUUACAGGAAUAAUAUAUACUAUGCCCAGGCACAAAUUCUCUUACAACAAAUGUUCAUCUUUUUUUACAUUUGUAUUUACAUAGGUAAAUGUCUUUUUAAAUAUAUGGACAGGUUUUUAAUAACACAAUCAUUUCUGGUAGAUAGAAGACAUCAAUUUUGGGACAGAUGGUUGUACAUGGUAACAUUUUGGAAUUAAAUUUUCUCUACUGCUUUUAUAAAAAAAUGAAAAAUUAACAAAAAAAUGGUAUUUAUUUUCUAUUUCAUAACGGUUACAUUUCGUACAUAAACUAAACGAUGACUCUGUGGUUGUAUUUAAUUGAGUUUUCUGUACAUUUAGAUUAUGGCUUAAACAACAGAACUUACAUAAAGUUCUAAGAAGAUCUCUUUCACAUGCUAAAGUAGACAGAUUUUUUCUGGUUCGAGUAGUGAUUUAUAAGAUGAAUAAACAUCAAGGAAAGAAGAAUUGGUGAAUUUGUAAUGCCAGUUUUGAAAUUCUAUAUCUUUAAAUCAUUUGAAUAUAACCAUGAAGCCGCAGUACUGAUACAACCACACCCAGUUUGAAACAAUAAUUGUCUUAUAUAAGAAACCCAGUAAGUUUGACCAUUUUCGUCAAAUGCUUCUAACAUAUGGUAACAGGCAAACGGAUAUCUUGUUUCAUGUAAUCUAAGUAGUUGACACCAGUACUUAACACAACGACUGUAAUAGUGUGCACACAGUGAUGUUCUUCCCAGCUCUUCUAGAAUUGCAUUUGUUGAUGUUCUUUUUCCAACGGAAAGGACACUUUUAAAAAAAUUACUCUGAACCAUUUCAAUGCUUUUUCUAUAGGCACAUCCCCAAAUGUCUGAGCCAUAUAAAAGAACAGGAGCAAUCUUUGAAUCAAAUAUUUUAGCAGCAGUAGAAAAUGGGAGAGAUGGGAAUUUCUUUAUCAUAUUUAACACAGGAAAAGUCGCUUUCCUUGCUUGAAUAGCUACCUCUCAUAUCACUCAUAUCUCAUAUCACUCAUAUCAUUUGCUUCAAACAAUAUGGCAGCGCAUAGUCAAGAUGAUCUAAUCGAUAAUCAAGAUCUAUAUUAAAAUAAAAUGGGUCUUGCCUCGCGAAGUGCAUCAGAUCUUUUGAGCACCAUGAUUAGAAACAUGAAAAGAUUUGGAAAAUAUCUGUCAACAUCCAGUUGACGGUACACAUGUUUUGGAAAUCCUGCAGUCGAACAACUUCUGCUCUUUGAAUCCAUGUUGUUUACGAACCUAGUUUCUUAUGCGAUUUUGAUUGGACUAUGCCAAGACUUGUUAGUCUAGCCACAAUGUAACUCCAGAAUUCCAGCCUAGUUAUACAAGGGUUGAAACUGGGCUUUUAUAGUCAGUAAACUCCCUUGUUUCGGGAAGAUGACUUUCCUCAUUGCUGCCCGAAGAUCAGAAGACACUAUUUAUUCCCUGUUAUCACAUUUUCUGUUACAUGACAGCGCACCCAAGCCCUAGUCGAAGUUCUGUAUUGACUUUGCCGGACUCUCGCCGUUGACGCGAUGAACAGCACUGUGUGCUCUACCAUGGAAGUUUCGAGAGCUCUCUGCAUGCCUGGACGGGAUGGUGGAGGUAUAUCUGUACUCAUGCAAUGGACCCGGAAACUCUCACGUCCAGUUGGACAUUUUGAGAGGCCUAUCUGUAGUCCGGUAUUGGCAGUGGAAGAUAGACGUCCCCUUCUCACCUCACCACCCUCUACCUCCUUGUACAGUUUACAGUACUUCAACAGGGAAGUCUCAUCCUCCUUAGGGGUGUUUUUCUUCCUUGGCCUUACAGACCGUACAGCUCACUUGUAAGUGUUUGGUCUUGCUGGACACCAGACACCCCUACACUGCACACCUUCUUGUGGAUCUCCAUUGUCAACCUGACAGUUUUGGGCACUUUAAAGUUGCUUUGCUUUUUAUUGGGGAAUUUUUGGCCUGAGUUCCAAGCUUUAUGUGCCACUUUUAAAUAUGUUUUCAAAUUCUUUCAAUGUCUCCAUGUUUCCAGAGUAAGUUCGAAAUACUGUCUAUAUGAACUUUUCUUUGGAAUGAAAGCAUCAACAUUGGUACUUGCCCUCCAGUAGUUAAAAUACCAAAUAUGGACCUGGCAUUUAUAUCUUGGACUAUGUAAACAAUGCAGGGGUACCAGUUCAAGCAAGCUCACUGAGUCCAGCCUCUUUUAUGAAUUAAUGUCAUAAGUGUCACAACCAAAUUCCAUGUUAUGUAUCAAACUCUGCAAUUAUCACUUGCUAUGAGCAUAGGUCUGCAAACAACUCACCGUCAAUAAACUUCAAAUCUGAAA